This 505-nucleotide ribosomal RNA is filed under the name Colaspis flavipes. Its description in RNAcentral is "partial 16S ribosomal RNA". It matches the Rfam family "Bacterial large subunit ribosomal RNA", at positions 1819 to 2600 of the family's 2925-position model. The record is from RNAcentral. Lineage: Eukaryota; Metazoa; Arthropoda; Insecta; Coleoptera; Chrysomelidae.
GGCUUUUUGAGUUAAUUUAAAGUCUGGCCUGCCCAAUGAGGUUUUUAAUGGCCGCGGUAUAUUGACCGUGCUAAGGUAGCAUAAUCAUUAGUUUUUUAAUUGAAGACUGGAAUGAAAGGUUUGAUGAGAAAGUUACUGUCUCUAAAUAAUUAAAUUGAAUUUUAUUUUUAUGUUAAAAAGCUUAAAUUUUUUUGAAAGACGAUAAGACCCUAUAGAGUUUUAUUAAACUUAUGAUUUUAUAUUUUGGUAAAAAAUUUAUUUGAUUAUAUUUUUAAUUUGGUUGGGGUGAUUAGAAAAUUUUAAACUUUUCUUUUAUUAAACAAUGGUAUAUGAUUUUAUGAUCCACAAAUUGUGAUUUGAAUAUUAAAUUACCUUAGGGAUAACAGCGUAAUUUUUUUUGAGAGUUCUUAUCGAAAGAAAAGAUUGCGACCUCGAUGUUGGAUUAAGAUUAAAUUUUGGUGCAAAAGCUAAAAUAUUAAGUCUGUUCGACUUUUUAAAUCUUACA